This is a long non-coding RNA of Sorex fumeus (smoky shrew), 981 nucleotides long. RefSeq lists it as uncharacterized. The transcript has 3 exons. The record is from RefSeq and is a predicted model, not a curated record. Lineage: Eukaryota; Metazoa; Chordata; Mammalia; Eulipotyphla; Soricidae.
GCUUAAAAUCCUAAGAAAUUUGAAUUUUCUACCUAGCAUCAAAUCAAGAGUCCAGCUUGCCCACGUGAAGUAAGACCUCGAAUUCUUUUUCAAACUUGGUGAUGAAGAAUCGACUUGAACAAAUUGCUGCUUUAGUAGAUGCUUCUCUAUAUGAACCACCGACAUCUUCAGAAAAUGCUUUACCUUGAACUCGUAGAUCAAGUGAUGAGUUUCUGCACUGCUUUACCUUGAACCGUAGGUCAGCACUAUUCACAAUAGCUAGAAUCUGGAAACAACCUGAGUGCACGGGAAAAGACGACUGGUAAAAGAAACCUUGUUACAUCUACACAGCGGAAUACUAUGCAGCUGUUAGAAAAGAUGAAGUCAUGAAAUUUGCUUAUAAAUGUAUGGACAUGGAGUGUAUCAUGCUAAGUGAAAUGAGUUAGAGAGGGAAAGACAUCGAAUGACUGCUCUUGUUUGUGGAAUGUAAAAUAACAAAGACUAACACCCAAGGACAGUAGAAACAAGGGCCAGGAGGAUCGCUCCGAGUUUGCAAUCCUGCUUCAUGUGUUGAGGAAGAAGGCAGUUGGGAUGGAGAAGGGACCACUAAAUAAAUGAUAGAUGGAAGAAUCACUCGGGAUGGGUGAUGUGUGCUGAAAGUAGACUACGGGCCAAACAUUAUGGCUUAGUAUCUGUUGCAAGCCUUGAUGCCCAAAAGUAGAGAGAGUAAUAAGAAAGAUGCCUGCCACAGAGGCAGGGGGUGGGAUGGGGUGAGGAUAUCAGGAGGGAUACUGGUGACAUUGGUGGAGGAAAAUACGCACUGGUGGAGGAUGGGUGCCCGAUCACGUAUCACUAAAACUCAAUCCUAAAAGCUUUGUAACUGGAUCUCACAGUGAUUCAAUUAAAAAAGUUGGGUUUUUCUCAAAGGGUGCUUUUCUUAGUUAAUUUGUAUCAUAGCCUAUGAGGAUGAUCAACAAAAAUAGUUGACCCCAAGGAACCACU